RNAcentral lists this ribosomal RNA (199 nucleotides) under uncultured bacterium. RNAcentral describes it as "partial 16S ribosomal RNA". It matches the Rfam family "Bacterial small subunit ribosomal RNA", at positions 328 to 539 of the family's 1533-position model. The record is from RNAcentral.
ACGCUCGACACCUACGGGAGCAGCAGUGGGGAAUAUUGCACAAUGGGGGAAACCCUGAUGCAGCGACGCCGCGUGGAGGAAGAAGGUCUUCGGAUUGUAAACUCCUGUUGUUGGGGAAAAGGAGGAUGGUACCCAACAAGGAAGUGACGGCUAACUACGUGCCAGCAGCUGCGGUAAUCUGAGGCGGGCUGGACAAGGC